GUGGGGAAUCUUGCGCAAUGGGCGAAAGCCUGACGCAGCCAUGCCGCGUGAAUGAUGAAGGUCUUAGGAUUGUAAAAUUCUUUCACCGGGGACGAUAAUGACGGUACCCGGAGAAGAAGCCCCGGCUAACUUCGUGCCAGCAGCCGCGGUAAUACGAAGGGGGCUAGCGUUGCUCGGAAUUACUGGGCGUACAGGGCGCGUAGGCGGACAGCUUAGUCAGAGGUGAAAGCCCAGGGCUCCACCUUGGAAUUGCCUUUGAUACUGGCUGUCUUGAGUUUGGGAGAGGUGAGUGGAACUCCGGGUGUAGAGGUAAAAUUCGUAGAUAUUCGGAAGAACACCAGUGGCGAAGGCGACUCACUGGCCCAAUACUGACGCUGAGGCGCGAAAGCGUGGGGAGCAAACAGGAUUAGAAACCCGGGUAGUCC
This 425-nucleotide ribosomal RNA is filed under the name uncultured bacterium. Its description in RNAcentral is "partial 16S ribosomal RNA". It matches the Rfam family "Bacterial small subunit ribosomal RNA", at positions 354 to 796 of the family's 1533-position model. The record is from RNAcentral.